RNAcentral lists this long non-coding RNA (492 nucleotides) under Drosophila guanche. Lineage: Eukaryota; Metazoa; Arthropoda; Insecta; Diptera; Drosophilidae. The record is from RNAcentral.
CAAAUAUCGCUGGGCGAUUCUAAAGUGCAUUAAAAUGUAAAAUAUUCAACAAUAUGGCUUAACCACCGAAUCUCACGGCCCGAGAAGUGCAGCAGGUAUUUGCAGAGAUUCUCAGCCAUGGCGAGGACAUCACCUGGGAUCUGUGAGUGCCCGCCCAAAAAUCCUUUGUUCCUCACUUAAAAUCUAUAGAUGGCCAAUCCCUGACCUAACAGAUUGCUGCAGAAUCAACGAGACAUUCUGAAAAGGAAAGUUCGAGAAAUAUUUAAUCAGAGACAUAAAUAAUUCUGGACAACGUUUGGACUCUACGUAAGCAGACUCCGCGAAACAGCAGCUCCGUCACUAAUCCAGACGUACAUACAUAACUUUAGGUAAAUGCGCCAACGGCCAGUCCCUUUCUGCGUUGUUCUUUGCGGUUAUUGUGAAUGGAGUGACCGACUUGAAGGAGGCAGAUAAUAGCAGAUCACCCAGUUUUCCGCUGCCGUCGCUGCGAUG